GUGGGGAAUAUUGCGCAAUGGGGGAAACCCUGACGCAGCAACGCCGCGUGCGGGAUGAAGGCCUUCGGGUUGUAAACCGCUUUCAGCAGGGAAGAUAGUGACGGUACCUGCAGAAGAAGCCCCGGCUAACUACGUGCCAGCAGCCGCGGUAAUACGUAGGGGGCAAGCGUUAUCCGGAUUCAUUGGGCGUAAAGCGCGCGCAGGCGGGUGCAAAAGCGGGGCCUUUAAACUUGGGGCUCAACCUCAAGUCGGGCUCCGAACUUUGCACCUCGAGUUCGGUAGGGGAGAUCGGAAUUCCCGGUGUAGCGGUGGAAUGCGCAGAUAUCGGGAAGAACACCGAUGGCGAAGGCAGAUCUCUGGGCCGUAACUGACGCUGAGGCGCGAAAGCUGGGGGAGCGAACAGGA
Molecule: ribosomal RNA, 405 nt
Filed under: uncultured bacterium
Lineage: Bacteria
Description: bacterial SSU rRNA
Rfam family: Bacterial small subunit ribosomal RNA
Source: RNAcentral